This is a long non-coding RNA of Pogoniulus pusillus (Red-fronted tinkerbird), 358 nucleotides long. RefSeq lists it as uncharacterized. The record is from RefSeq and is a predicted model, not a curated record. The transcript is spliced from 3 exons. Lineage: Eukaryota; Metazoa; Chordata; Aves; Piciformes; Lybiidae.
CUUGGGAGAGCAAUAUCAUCUCCCCACUAUGAACAGGACAUUCUGGCACCUUAAAGGGAGAAAGACCUUUACCUUCCCGGCCAUCUUUCCUCUUCCCUGACAGCUGAUGUUGCACACAACCCUUCUUGCUGCAAAUAGACCACAAUUUCCACUAAGCAGUUUGUUCCAGCAAAAGUCUCCUUCCACAGGAAAAAUAUGUCUCGUAUGAGGACAGACUGAAAGAGUUGGGGCUGUUCAGUCUGCAGAAGAGGAGGCUCCCAGCAUCUGGAAGGUAUCCUGUGGAAUACCAUUGGGAAGAUGAUUCCUUGCAGACUUUUAAGUUAAGGCAAAUAAAGACAAAGAGUCUUGUAGCCCACAA